RNAcentral lists this transfer RNA (80 nucleotides) under Candidatus Alistipes stercoravium. Its description in RNAcentral is "tRNA-Pro". It matches the Rfam family "tRNA". From Rfam's summary of the family: Transfer RNA (tRNA) molecules are approximately 80 nucleotides in length. Their secondary structure includes four short double-helical elements and three loops (D, anti-codon, and T loops). Lineage: Bacteria; Pseudomonadati; Bacteroidota; Bacteroidia; Bacteroidales; Rikenellaceae. The record is from RNAcentral.
UCGGGGUGUAGCGCAGUCCGGUUAGCGCGCCAGCUUCGGGAGUUGGAGGUCGCUGGUUCGAAUCCAGUCUCCCCGACCCA